GACGUAGGGCGCGAGCGUUGUCCGGAUUUAUUGGGCGUAAAGAGCUCGUAGGCGGCUUGUCGCGUCGUCCGUGAAAACUUGGGGCUCAACCCCAAGCUUGCGGUCGAUACGGGCAGGCUAGAGUUCGGUAGGGGAGACUGGAAUUCCUGGUGUAGCGGUGAAAUGCGCAGAUAUCAGGAGGAACACCGGUGGCGAAGGCGGGUCUCUGGGACGGUACUGACGCUGAGACGCGAAAGCGUGGGGAGCGAACAGG
RNAcentral lists this ribosomal RNA (253 nucleotides) under uncultured bacterium. RNAcentral's name for it is "partial 16S ribosomal RNA". It matches the Rfam family "Bacterial small subunit ribosomal RNA", at positions 524 to 776 of the family's 1533-position model. The record is from RNAcentral.